Molecule: long non-coding RNA, 692 nt
Filed under: Triticum aestivum (bread wheat)
Lineage: Eukaryota; Viridiplantae; Streptophyta; Magnoliopsida; Poales; Poaceae
Description: long non-coding RNA (TAES_LNC023509)
Source: RNAcentral
CCGAGGAUGUCCUUGAUGGUCUUGCAGAGUCCCUCGAAGGCGGCCUUCUUCUCUUCCUUGCGCUUCUUUUCUUCUUCAGUUUCUUCGUCGAGCUUGAGCCCCUCCUUGGUGGCGGAGACGAGCUUCUUGCCGUCGUACUCCUUGAGCUGCCCGACGGCGUACUCGUCGAUGGCGUCCACCAUGAAGAGCACCUCGUAGCCGCGCUUCUUGAGGCGCUCGAGGAAGGGCGAGUUCUCGACGGCCUUGCGGCUCUCGCCGGUGAUGUAGUAGAUGUCCUUCUGGCCCUCCUUCAUCCGGGUGACGUAGUCCUUGAGGCUGGUGAGGUCGUCGCCGCUCUUGGUGGAGUGGUAGCGGAGGAGGUCGGCGAGCUUGGCGCGGUUCUGCGAGUCCUCGUGCACGCCCAGCUUGAGGUUCUUGGAGAAGGCCUCGUAGAACUUGGCGUAGUCCUCUUUAUUCUCGGCGAUCUCGAAGAAGAGCUCGAUGCACUUCUUGACGAGGUUCUUGCGGAUGACCUUGAGGAUCUUGUUCUGCUGCAGCGUCUCCCGGGAGAUGUUGAGGGGGAGGUCGUCCGAGUCGACGACGCCCUUGACGAAGCCCAGCCACUCCGGGAUGAGCUCCUCGCAGUUGUCCAUGAUGAAGACGCGGCGCACGUAGAGCUUGAUGUUGUUCAUCUUCUUGCGGGUGUCGAAGAG